UUUUAGGGAGACCACCCACUCAGGCUUACGGAAGUAAGGAUUGAGCUGGUCAACCAGGUCGUGCGAGAUUUGGGAUGCGGCUUUCAAACUAUUUGGGUUCACGAACUAAGAGAGUAUUGAGAUGCCAUUUAGAAGAGCAUGGGAUUGAUAGUACAGCACCUCAUUUAGUAGCACGAGUGAGUGAUUGUGAGUGAAUACUAAAGAGAAUGCUGGGUUGUAAUCCAGUAAGGACCU
Molecule: unclassified non-coding RNA, 234 nt
Filed under: Khargia iranica KH.T.2
Lineage: Bacteria; Bacillati; Cyanobacteriota; Cyanophyceae; Leptolyngbyales; Leptolyngbyaceae
Description: Leptolyngbyaceae cyanobacterium KH.T.2 partial 16S-23S ribosomal RNA intergenic spacer
Source: RNAcentral